GUCUUCUCUGCCGAGGCUACAGCCCACACCCUCCGCUCCUCCUCAUGGUAUCAAGAUGCAGAGAGCAGUGCAGAAGGGACAGACUGCCUGCUGGAGAGAAGCUGGGCUGCCCUGCUCCACAUACCAAGGAUGGAGGCAGAAGGACAGAAUAACAGUACCAAGUGCAUGUGGAUCUGCACUACAGGGGUGCCAGCAGGAAUCUCAUACAUGGAGAUGGUUGGCUUUCUUCCUGACUCAGCACUCCAUUGAUUUCCAAGGACUCCUCCACCACAUUCACAGCAGCUCCAGGCUGGGCCCUCUGACACAGGUAGCACAGACACCCCAGGCCCUCUCUGUGGUGAUGUAGAAUGUAUGUUUUUAGUUAAUAAAAUGUGUAUGCAUAUGGGUGUUUUGCCUGCAUGCAUGUCCUUAGCUCAACCCUGGAUCCAUCUUG
Molecule: long non-coding RNA, 433 nt
Filed under: Cricetulus griseus (Chinese hamster)
Lineage: Eukaryota; Metazoa; Chordata; Mammalia; Rodentia; Cricetidae
Description: lncRNA (ENSCGRG00000024486.1)
Source: RNAcentral